This 453-nucleotide ribosomal RNA is filed under the name Salmonella enterica subsp. enterica serovar Enteritidis. Its description in RNAcentral is "partial 23S ribosomal RNA". It matches the Rfam family "Bacterial large subunit ribosomal RNA", at positions 767 to 1218 of the family's 2925-position model. The record is from RNAcentral. Lineage: Bacteria; Pseudomonadati; Pseudomonadota; Gammaproteobacteria; Enterobacterales; Enterobacteriaceae.
UGGAGGACCGAACCGACUAAUGUUGAAAAAUUAGCGGAUGACCUGUGGCUGGGGGUGAAAGGCCAAUCAAACCGGGAGAUAGCUGGUUCUCCCCGAAAGCUAUUUAGGUAGCGCCUCGUGAAUUCAUCUCCGGGGGUAGAGCACUGUUUCGGCUAGGGGGCCAUCCCGGCUUACCAACCCGAUGCAAACUGCGAAUACCGGAGAAUGUUAUCACGGGAGACACACGGCGGGUGCUAACGUCCGUCGUGAAGAGGGAAACAACCCAGACCGCCAGCUAAGGUCCCAAAGUCAUGGUUAAGUGGGAAACGAUGUGGGAAGGCCCAGACAGCCAGGAUGUUGGCUUAGAAGCAGCCAUCAUUUAAAGAAAGCGUAAUAGCUCACUGGUCGAGUCGGCCUGCGCGGAAGAUGUAACGGGGCUAAACCAUGCACCGAAGCUGCGGCAGCGACACUGUG